GACGAACGCUGGCGGCGUGCCUAACACAUGCAAGUCGAGCGACGAACCGGGGCUUGCUCCGGGGCAGAGCCGCGAACGGGUGAGUAACACCUGGGUGUCCUCCUCCGAUGACUGGGACAACCCGUCGAAAGACGGGUUAUUACCCGUUCUUCCCCUUGGGGGAAAGGAGGGUUCUUCCUCCCCCUCGGUAUGGGCCCGCGGCGGAUUAGCUUGUUGGUGGGGUAAUGGCUUACCAAGGCGACGAUGCGUAGCUGGUCUGAGAGGACGAUCAGCCACACUGGGACUGAGACACGGCCCAGACUCCUACGGGAGGCAGCAGUGGGGAAUCUUGCACAAAGGGCGAAAGCGUGAUGCAGCAACGCCGCGUGCGUGAAGAAGGUCUUAGGGUUGUAAAGCGCUUUCAGUUGGGAGGAAGCGUCGAACGUGAAUAGCGGGUUGGAGUGACGGUACCAUCAGAAGAAGCACCGGCUAACUACGUG
RNAcentral lists this ribosomal RNA (479 nucleotides) under uncultured bacterium. Its description in RNAcentral is "partial 16S ribosomal RNA". It matches the Rfam family "Bacterial small subunit ribosomal RNA", at positions 28 to 507 of the family's 1533-position model. The record is from RNAcentral.